Molecule: long non-coding RNA, 4320 nt
Filed under: Zonotrichia albicollis (white-throated sparrow)
Lineage: Eukaryota; Metazoa; Chordata; Aves; Passeriformes; Passerellidae
Description: lncRNA (ENSZALG00000008661.1)
Source: RNAcentral
GGGGUACCUGCCCCGGUCGGGUACCGUGGUGCCACGGGUGUUGCCCCCGGCAGAUGCAGCAGAGCUGCAGGGACGCUGCACCUGUGGGGCACGGGCCUCCCCUUCCCUUAGUGGGUGAGGAAAGCACAUCCAGGAAACAACAGCUGAUACACCUAAGAGGGCAGUGGGAGAUGAAGGAAUGCAUGUGGUGAAAGAAUGCUUGGUGACACCGUCUGUCCGUGGGGAGGCACUGAAAUGCCCCCAUCGAGGGCAACAUUAGAGCCGUUUGUCCCAGCAGGUCACUCCUGUUCACGUAUCCCCUCCCUCCCCAAGCUCACGCAGAGUGCCCAGCGCUUGGAGCUCGCAGCCGCCUCCCUGGGCAGCCCUGGCGGAGCAGUGGGCAAGGCCAGGGCGCCCAGACCCUGCCGGCUCAGGGGAACGAGGCCUGAGAGGGCGAGGGUUCCUGUCGCCUGUCACCGCGCUGCCUCGUGCCCCGCCGGCGUCCGGGCCCUGUGGCGGGCGCCUCUCGCCUCUGAGGUGAUGCGGGUUUGGAGGCGGGCCGCCCCCGCCCCCCGGCGCAGCCUGCCCGCCCGCCUGCGCGCCGUGUGCGGGGCGGCCGUGCGCCGAGGCGGCGCGGCGCGGAGCGGAGCGGAGCAUGGGGCGGCCGGCGGCCGGGCAGCAGCUGCGCCCGGGGCCGGGGCCGCCGCUGCGGCUGCUCCUGCUGCUGGGCGUCCUCCUGCUGCGCGGCGGAGCGGCGGCGGGGACGGGGGCCGAGCCGUGCCAGGCGCCGCGGCAGUGGGAAGGGCGCACCGUGUUCUACGAGCAUGGCUCGGGCCGCAACACGCGGGCCGCCGUCUCCUACGACGGCCCCAACCAGCGCCUCCGCAUCCUGGAGGAGAGGAAGGCACUCAUCCCCUGCAAGAACCUGCCAAGCUCAGGGUGGAAGAAUUGAUGGGCCUAGAGAGGCCUUCCUGAGUGAGACAUUUCCAGCUGCUGAGUGUCAGUCACUUUCAGACAACAUGUCAAAACAUUCCUGCCAGUGUGAGAGUAGCAGGUCUGUCCAUACCUCUGCUCUCCCACCUAUGAAUUGUUCAAAUAAUAGUGCAUCCGUCCUGGGGAUGUUUGAGACAAGGUAAUGACAAGGUCAUACAAAUGCUGUGUCAUCCAAACUAAUGGUCUCUCCUGUUAAAAGAUCAAUAUUCCUUUUUCCUGCUGGUUUUUUUUCCCUGACAAUCAAUUUCAUACCAACAUCGCACAGUAAUUGUUUUAAUCUUUCCAAAACAUGUGCUCUUCUGUGAUCCUUUUCUCUCCAAAUCCCCUGACACUUGUAGAACUGUUUUGUGUGUUUCAUUUUCAGGCUUAACUGUCCCUCAUUGUCAGCUUUUUUCAUUACUGUUUUUGCAUAGGAGCCACGUGAAGAAUGUUCAAAGCAACAUAGAGCUUUUUGCUGGUGGUCUGCUGACAUACAGCAUGGAGUCUGACACUGGCCAUGGCGUGCUCAUGUUGCCUUAUUCUGCAAGUCCUAGGUUAACUUUAACAUUUGACAAGCAUAAAAUUGUGUCACAAAGCCUGAUGCAAGUUUUUUCUAGAUUCUGAGUUGUACUACACUUCAAGCUUAUGUUUACUUUAUUUGAAAACUUCAUUUUAAGAUUGAAUAAUUACUCUUCAGUUUAGACUGUGGGCCAGAUUUUGUCUUUUUCCAAGAUCUUAUAUUUUUACAUUUUUGAUAAAUACCUGCUGUGGAUGCAGUUUUGUCUGGGUUUGUAGCAAUAGAAAGAGGCAGAGUGCACACAGGUGUGCUUGUUGAUUUCUCCUAUAUUAGAUUUUUGUUGUAGACAAAUUUCUGACCUCAGAAGUCUUUAAUUUUUCUGCCAUCCAAAGUUGGAGAAGGGCUGAUUUUGUUAUAUGGGCAGUAGUGUCUGCUCAGGGCAUGACCCAAGCUUCCAUUUAAGUCAACAGAAAGUCUCCCAUUGGUUUCAGUAUGUGUUGGAUCAGGUCUAGAAUUGUGAUCACAACUUCAUUUCAGUGUGGACACAGUGACUUGGUAACCAAAGUUUUCAAAAGUUAGAGGCAAAGGGAUUUAUCCUGUCUUUUGAAAAAUAACCUCUCCUCCCCCCUGUUUUGACAUUGACAAGAAAGGGGUAAUUAUGCCGAGGCAGUGAGUACAAAAUCAACAAGAAAAUCAACAAGAAAAAUAGUGCUGCCCUGGUCUGUAAGGAAAUUUCAGUCUAAAUUUUCACAUUUUGCUCCUAUCAGAUGUAACUUAUGUACAGCGAUCAGGGUUGGCCAACAACCACAUUUUUCUACAGAGCAUUUUCUGAAGCUUGCAAAUGUGGACUUUAAUCAGACACAGCCCUGUUUGAGUUAUUGGCUGAGGUUAAUCAAGGACACAAAGAUUUGCCUGUGUGGAAUGGCUUGCAGGCUCAUAACCGCAGGAAAACAUGAAACUUUCAGGUUUUAUUGUAGAUCUAUGUUUCAAAUUCAUGUGUUCUGCCAUGUGGCAUUUUCAUACCUACAUCCGCCCAGUAAAACAUACCUACCUCAACUCCAGACCAGUAGCCAUAAGGUAAACACCCAGUUGCUGCUUCAUUAACAUCACUUCUUUGUCCAUCAGUUGUUUUGAGAUCACCUGAGAUGGAGUGACCACAUUGGUAAAGGCUGCCCAUUCCCCAUUGUCCAGCUGCACUGUGUCACCUGCCACCUGGGCACACACCUCGCUUGCCAGACAGCCAACAGAGCCAGCUCAUUAGGGAAGUCAUAGCUGUGGUUUCAGAAAACCAGCUUGUUGGGUGGGUGUUUCUCUAGGUCACACAAUUGGCUCCUGCACUCUGGCUCAGAGUGUAAAAACCACCAGCAGUGAUCCUAGGCUGAGAUUUUUCAAGGAGAACCUAUUCCAGUUGGAUUCAUUUCUGGGCUUUCUUUUUCACUUUUACAGACCCAGCCUUAGCUACACUCUGCUUCUUUUGUUUUCUCCAGCAUGCCUUGCCCUGCUGCUUAUUGGCCCUUCAGGAUCAAAUUUUUUGAGAUAGACAGAGUGGGCAGAGACAAUCUUAAAAGUUUCGUGUGGUGCUCAGCUGAUACUGAUAGCAGAAGAGAAAAGAAAACAAACAUUGAGUAUGUUGUGCUGUUUCCUGUUUGGACUAGGUCAUUCCUGGUAUAAUGUGAAAGGGGAGCACUUGAAGCAGCUCCUUAGACCUCUUGAGGCAAAGCUGAGUUCCUGCUGUUAAACACAGAACGUUUUUUUUAGUCCUUUGUGGCCUACUGUAUGAAGUUACUUCCUCUUGUGCUCUCUGGAUGUUGAACCUUCCUCACUCUUGUUCAACCUCUGUUGGCCUUUAUCCCAGGACACUUACAAAAUAGGUAGCAGUCACCAGCAUGGUUUUCAAAUGGAGCAGGACCUUCUUUUUGAGGUAACUUCAAAUGCUGUAGGUUUGAGUAUGUCAUCUCUGCAAACUGGUGAGAAAUCCUGGCACAAAGAAGUCCAGACAAAAAAUCCUACUGACUGCACUGUGGCCAGAACUUCAUGUCGUCCAUCACCUUUGAUUUUCUUGGAGAAAUAGAGCAAGGGUUGUGCUCUUCAGCACUACUGAAGCCACUCAACAGGUGUUAGUGCUCAGUUAUGAAGAAAGAAAAACAUGAAGUGAGGAGCAGAGCAGAAAUAGUACAGGUGGUGUUUGCGAGCUGGAGUAUGGCAUACUUGCCAUAUGCUGUGUUCACAGAGUUUCACACUUAUCUUCCAUACUGUUUUCCAUGGAGUGAUUUUCAGGGAAGGCCCAAUAACAUACUGUCUUAUGAGAAAUGUGAUGGUGGGAAGAAAAAAAUGUCCAUGUGGUCAAGAAAGUGAGUAGGAGGAAGAAAAUGCUUUUUGUUUUUUCUUCUAUGCAUGUAUUUUAACAGUAACCUCCUUGGCCUAUUGUACAGUACUCAGCACAUUAAGAUGCCUGUAUAUUUGCAACUGUCAGGGUUGGUGUCUUAAAAACUGUAACUGCAUAGCAGAAGAACAAUCAGGAGGGACCCUAUCAGUGUUAAUUUAUAAACCAGAAGUACAUGUUGUUAAAUUCCUUUAGUUCUAUCAUAUUUGCAAAAGAUAGGCACAGUUAAGGGGAUGAUACACUCCUCACCUGGCCACACAAACUGCUGGGGUGAUAGAGGAGUGACAAAGCUAUGUUUAGAGAAGUAAGUCUCUUAUUCUGGCAGGCUCUUUGCCUGUGUGUGUCAAUCCCUGUCCUUGACUGAGGAGAGGCAGCAUAAGGUCAGGUGCAAUUAUAACAACAUUCAUCUGGAGAAGAGGUGAUGACUUUUCAAAAUAAACAGAGUGUGGGCACACGUGUCUGACUUAUC